Molecule: ribosomal RNA, 219 nt
Filed under: uncultured bacterium
Lineage: Bacteria
Description: partial 16S ribosomal RNA
Rfam family: Bacterial small subunit ribosomal RNA
Source: RNAcentral
ACGGUCUCAGUUCNGAUUGCAGGCUGCAACUCGCCUGCAUGAAGUUGGAAUUGCUAGUAAUCGCGGAUCAGCAUGCCGCGGUGAAUACGUUCCCGGGCCUUGUACACACCGCCCGUCACACCAUGAGAGUUUGUAACACCCAAAGCCGGUGGGGUAACCUUUUGGAGCCAGCCGUCUAAGGUGGGACAGAUGAUUGGGGUGAAGUCGUAACAAGGUAAC